GAUUCUUUAGUAUUAUUUUGGUAUAUUUGUUUUCCAAACAGAAGGUUUUGAGAAUUU
Molecule: transfer RNA, 57 nt
Filed under: Setaria digitata
Lineage: Eukaryota; Metazoa; Nematoda; Chromadorea; Rhabditida; Setariidae
Description: tRNA-Gly
Source: RNAcentral